Molecule: non-coding RNA, 72 nt
Organism: Oryza sativa Japonica Group (Japanese rice)
Lineage: Eukaryota; Viridiplantae; Streptophyta; Magnoliopsida; Poales; Poaceae
Source: the annotation of a RefSeq genome assembly
UCCGAGAGGAACCUUCACCCCCCGGGGGGAGGCCGGGUGGGAUGGUAGACUUUUUUUUCGCCACAAGUGGGA